CCUUAUUAAGAGCGGCUGAGGGAAUAGGCCCAGCGAAGCCCGGCAACCUGUAUCAACAAGGUGCUAAAUCCUACAGAAUAUCAAUUCUGAAAGAUGAGG
RNAcentral lists this non-coding RNA (99 nucleotides) under pig gut metagenome. RNAcentral's name for it is "SAM riboswitch (S box leader)". It matches the Rfam family "SAM riboswitch aptamer (S box leader)". From Rfam's summary of the family: The SAM riboswitch is found upstream of a number of genes which code for proteins involved in methionine or cysteine biosynthesis in Gram-positive bacteria. The SAM riboswitch acts at the level of transcription termination control. The predicted structure consists of a complex stem-loop region followed by a single stem loop terminator region. The record is from RNAcentral.